This is a long non-coding RNA of Cavia porcellus (domestic guinea pig), 1953 nucleotides long. RefSeq lists it as uncharacterized. NCBI's taxonomy places the organism in Eukaryota, Metazoa, Chordata, Mammalia, Rodentia, Caviidae. The record is from RefSeq and is a predicted model, not a curated record. The transcript is spliced from 2 exons.
AUGUGUUUAAGUUUGUACUGAGUUCCCCUUCCACAUAUUAGAAGAGGAGCCAGGUCAGUAGUAUAAGUGACAGGCUUUCAAGGUCAGGUAACCAGACCUGAACUGAAUGUGACAGGCCCAGAGCUCAGGGCUCUUCUCACUUUGCGACUUCAACAGAAAGACUCCAGCACAAGAGUUCACAGGGACUUCUGUCCCCAAGGAUGUAAGGGAACCUCUGGUGAGGGCUAUAAUUCAGAAAAAAAUGUAUGCAGGGCACAUCUUUGGGACCAGUGUGAGUGGAUGACAACACCAGAACACUAGGCGGACCCAGAUUGAGGAUUGACUGGGGGAUAGUGCCUGGGCAGAAGUCAUGCUAUUCAUGAGGACUCUUCUGUUAGGUUUUUUUGAUGCAGUUGAAAGACAAAGACAUAAGGAAAAAUGUUCAUUGCAGGCACAGGAGGUUGCUGGGGACUGCAAGGACGCUCACAAAGGUGGAUCUGGGAAACAGCUGGAAAACAGCAGAAAGACAGGUGUCUGAUUGCAAGAGUACAGACUGUUUUUGGCACUCUUGAAACAGUAGCCUAUGGCCUUAGUUCAAGGGGGCUGUCACAGGACACACAUUGUGGGUGUGCAGCUACUGUGCCCCCACCUCUGGCAGUCCUGUUUUUUUUUUUUUUUUUUUUUUUUUUUUUUUUUUGUCUUUUUCAUUUUUAUCGGUACCGGGGAUCAAACUCACGACCGCCUGCUUGCAAGGCAGGUGCUUAUGCCGCUGAGCUAAACCCCCAACCCCUAGUCCUGUUUUGAAACUAAAACACAGAAAACUGGGGCUGGGGAUUUAGCUCAGCGGCAUAAGCGCCUGCCUUGCAAGCAGGCAGUCGUGAGUUCGAUCCCUGUUACCGAAAAAAACAAAAAAAUAAAAUAAAACACAGAAAACUGUACAAAACACCCAAGGAAUUUGUGGAGUGGAGAGGGUGGUAGUUGCCGCCAGACCCACUGAAUGCAGACGCUGCCAAGGGAGGGAAACGCUGUGACGGGAGCGUCGGCCGAGGGGAGUGGAGGUGUUCUAUGUGCCCGGGGAUGACAUGUGGCUGGGUGGGUGGGUGGAUGGAUGGAUGGAUGGAUGGAAGGCAUGGUGGGGUGGGGUGGGGGUUGGGGGAGGGCUUCCCUCCUGCAGAUGUCCGGUGAGAUGGCCGGCUGUCCUUGGGGAGGCGGUUGAAGACCUGUUGCUUCUUUGCGAAAACCCAAGAUGGUGCUCCCAUUCUGACCCUGCACCUUCCUGCCGCCCCAGGUCUCCUGCUGCUCCUGUCCCUGCAGUGUGUCCCUUCUCAUGUUCCCCGUUCCUGUUUCCCGUGGGAGCCAGCCCACCCGCCUAGUCACUGGCCCGGAUGGUCCCAGUAAGGGCUUAAGCCACUGAGCUAAAUCCCCGGUCCUAUAUUCAAGUUUUGUCCUGGGAAUCAAACUCAGGGCCUCAUGCUUGCCAGGCAGGUGCUGUGCUGCAGAGCUAUAUCCCUGGCCCGUGGCCUUCCUGUCUCUCACUGCCAUGGCCUGGCGGGUACCUAGGGGUGUCCCUGGACUUGGCUUUCUGCCAUUUAUUGAUUGAUUAAUUGAUUGGUACUGGGGAUUGAACUCACGACCUCGAGUUUGCCAAGCAGGCACUUAUGCCGCUGAGCUAAACCUCUGUGGCCCGAGCUAAACCCUCGGCUCUCUGUCUUUUUUUUUUUUUUUUUUUUUCAUUUUUACCGGUACCAGGGAUCGAACUCACGACCGCCUGCUUGCAAGGCAGGUGCUUAUGCCGCUGAGCUAAAUCCCCAGCCCCUGCUCUCUGUCUUUUAAUACAGUCAGUCACAGGGUCUCUGUGUGUGGUACAGAGUGGCUUGGAAUGAAUGAAUGAAUGAAUGAAUGAAUGAGUGAAAGAAAGAAAAAAAGAAAGAAAGAAAGAGAAUGAGUGAAAGAAAGAAAGAAAAAGAAAACAAA